Non-coding RNA from Myodes glareolus (Bank vole), 514 nucleotides. NCBI's taxonomy places the organism in Eukaryota, Metazoa, Chordata, Mammalia, Rodentia, Cricetidae. The record is from RefSeq and is a predicted model, not a curated record.
GCUAAAACCUUUCGCUCUACAACAUGUCUCUAGAGGGUUGUGGCCAAUGGCAACGUAUGACAAACUGACCUGAUUCUUCCUGCAUAUAAUAUCGACUGGCCAACAUGGUCACCAAAUUCCAUAGACAUUUUUUUUAAUCUGCUAAGAAAAAUGAUUAGGUAUUUUUUUUCUGCCACUGUAUCCAUUAAUUAAAGACAAGAAGACGAAUGUCCUGGCUUCAUAUGGUAUGAGUUCCUCUGCUGUGCAAAGCUGGCUCCUCCUGAUCACAGUGCUGACUCAUAGUUGGAAGAUCAUGUGGGUUUGGAGACAAAGCCCAUGAAGAAGAUUCAGGGAAAAGAGCCUAUUCCAGUGAAGAUGCAAGCAACAGAAAUCAGAUAAGAGGACAACUGACCGAGCUAUUAUAAAGCUCUCUAUGGGAUGGGACCUUACCAUCAAUCGUCAGUCAAGACACUCCCUCACCUACAUGGCCACAAGCCAAUCUGACCUUGGCAGUUCCUCAGCUGAGGUUACUUCU